GGUUUUCUCCGUGCGUUGGUCCCUACAGUAGAUAAAACGGGCACAGUAGCUAAAAUUAACGCCUAAGUAAAACCGCUGCCGGUGAGUUUUGGGAGUAUUUUCGCUUUUUUGAAAGUUAGUAUUUUGGCUCUCACAAAGCCUCCUGAUUUUAGUAGGCUUUCCCUGGAAUGACCCAGAUUCCUUUUCGUUACCUUAGUUAAGGCACCCCCUCCCCGUGCAGGGUCAGGGUUGGAAAACUACCGCGCUGAGCCCAAAUUACCGCGAAGAUCGUCGGAAAUGUGCGCAACUCAGCUAAAGCGGAGAUUUAAUGGAUGGUAUUCAGUAGAAAAUGGGACAAGACAUGAAUGGACAGUUUACAGGAAAAAAAAAUGCAAGGGGCCCCUAAACAUUUAAGUGGGUGCUCAGCCUUUUUCAUAAUCAGAAGAAUGCAAACGAAAACCUCACUGAGCUAAGGCUUCUGAUCCAUCAGAUUGUCAAAAAUCCAAAAGUUUAACAAGCGAGGUACGCUGUUAAGGACAAUACAGGAACCUGAUCUGUCCUGCAUUGUUGGGAGGGAGUGCAAAUUUACCUUUGACCCGCAAUCCACCUCUAGAAUCUACUCUGAAAGUAAACUUGCACAAAUAUGAAAACAGCAUACGCGCAAGGUUUUAUUUGUAGUGGCACUGUAUGAAUUUGCAAGACUGGAAACCAUGCAGAUGUCCAUGAGAGGGGGAGUGGCUGAGUAAACUGGUACAUCCGGGCUGGUACUACAGCCCAGCUGACUCUGUGGCGUUAAGAAAAAUGAGGAAAACUACAAUAUUUUCUAUGGCGUGAUUUGUCUCCAGAGAUGAUGUAUAUUGGCUGCUACCGUUAGCAAAAAGAAGCACUGAAACGAUAAAACCAAAACUGAUAAAAUUGAUAGCGUAAAUGGUGGAGAAUCCGGUGGAAGCCCUAGAGGGGUUCCACCAAAAGAAAAAUAAGGUGACAAUAAUAAUAGUAAAAAGAAUCUGUGGCAGUAGGAAUCUGCCAGGCUUCCUGUUCUGGAACCCAGCACUAGACCCGGAAAGGCAUGUUUGGCUGGGUGGGCCUCAAGUUACUUAUAAUUGGUGGCCAUGCUAUAGCCUGAGUGAAGGAUUUCUGGUACCCUGCCGCUCUCCAAAAAGACGUCUCUUUGGGAACUCUAGAACUGGAAUGGUCCAUCAGCACCUGCCUUUUGGCAGAGAGGGCAGGCCUUUGUACCCCACUAGUGACUUGGUUUGGAGGUGGGCUGCCCCCAGAACAGGAUGUAAUCUUGGGCAAGGCAGCUGCUGUCAGGCUGGGCACAACCUCCCCCUCAAGGCUGUGAGGAGGGAAGAAAGGAAACAACUUCUACUUUCUUUAAAGUAGGAAACCUCCUCAUCUGCCACCUCUCCUGCAGUGAGAAGUAGAGACUAGACGUGGAUACUCCCACAUAGGAUACUGGGGCCUAAUGGAUGACUGUGGGCCUCCACCAGGCGCAGGUGACCCUGCAGAUAUGAUUCAGAGGCAGCCUCUCGCUGCUGUUCAUCAGCAGCCUGAUUCCAUGUGGACUAUACUGUUGCUUUCAGAAAUCAUGGUCUGCCUGGACCUAGCCAGGCUCACUGUUGAAGUCUUGUUGUGUGCUCUUCCUUCCAGGCCCAGAGAGCUGCCCAGUAGAUCAACUUGGGCUUUCUAUCAGGCUCUAAGUACAGGCAGGUCCUUAGGACAAAUUAGAAUAAAACAAUCUCAGAGUGAAAAAAAAAAAAAAAA
This 1746-nucleotide long non-coding RNA is filed under the name Homo sapiens (human). Its description in RNAcentral is "uncharacterized LOC105274304 (LOC105274304)". The record is from RNAcentral. Lineage: Eukaryota; Metazoa; Chordata; Mammalia; Primates; Hominidae.